Molecule: ribosomal RNA, 466 nt
Filed under: uncultured bacterium
Lineage: Bacteria
Description: partial 16S ribosomal RNA
Rfam family: Bacterial small subunit ribosomal RNA
Source: RNAcentral
GAUGAACGCUGGCGGCGUGCUUAACACAUGCAAGUCGAACGGAAAGGCUCCUGCUUGCAGGGGUACUCGAGUGGCGAACGGGUGAGUAACACGUGGGUGAUCUGCCCUGCACUUCGGGAUAAGCCUGGGAAACUGGGUCUAAUACCGGAUAGGACGAUGGUUUGGAUGCCAUUGUGGAAAGUUUUUUCGGUGUGGGAUGAGCUCGCGGCCUAUCAGCUUGUUGGUGGGGUAAUGGCCUACCAAGGCGUCGACGGGUAGCCGGCCUGAGAGGGUGUACGGCCACAUUGGGACUGAGGUACGGACCAGACUCCUACGGGAGGCAGCAGUGGGGAAUAUUGCACAAUGGGCGCAAGCCCGAUGCAGCGACGCCGCGUGGGGGAUGACGGCCUUCGGGUUGUAAACUCCUUUCGCUAGGGACGAAGCGCAAGUGACGGUACCUGGAGAAGAAGCACCGGCUAACUACGUG